This 423-nucleotide ribosomal RNA is filed under the name uncultured bacterium. RNAcentral describes it as "partial 16S ribosomal RNA". It matches the Rfam family "Bacterial small subunit ribosomal RNA", at positions 361 to 776 of the family's 1533-position model. The record is from RNAcentral.
AUAUUGGACAAUGGGCGAAACCCUGAUCCAGCCAUGCCGCGUGUGUGAAGAAGGUCUNNNGAUUGNACAGCACUUUAAGUUGGNAGGNAGAGUUGUAGGCUAAUACCUUGCAAUUUUGACGUUACCAACAGAAUAAGCACCGGCUAACUUCGUGCCAGCAGCCGCGGUAAUACGAAGGGUGCAAGCGUUAAUCGGAAUUACUGGGCGUAAAGCGCGCGUAGGUGGUUCGUUAAGUUGGAAGUGAAAGCCCCGGGCUCAACCUGGGAACUGCUUUCAAAACUGGCAAGCUAGAGUAUGGCAGAGGGUGGUGGAAUUUCCUGUGUAGCGGUGAAAUGCGUAGAUAUAGGAAGGAACACCAGUGGCGAAGGCGACCACCUGGGCUAAUACUGACACUGAGGUGCGAAAGCGUGGGGAGCAAACAGG